GGAGUUUUAUGCUUCUCGUGUUUGAUUCAUUUGAAUGAAGUAAUGCUUCAUCCAAGGGGAGAAAUAAUCUCUGACUCUUCUCUAGGCUGAGAUGAGAUUUAUGGAUUGAACCAGCUCAAUGGAUGUCACUGAAAGCAGUGCAGCAAGCCGUCUCUCCCAGCUGUUCACACGGAGAGUGAAAAGGAGUUUCUGGGACCAAGGAAUACACAGUAAAGGAUGAGCAAGCAUGAAUGUUAUGCAGUGCUGCAAGCAUUGAUUGGAACUUAAAAGGAAGAUGAAUAUAUUUCUAACCACCGUCAGUGGAGUCGGGAAAGAAAAAUAAGAUUUUCAUAGGCAGAGAGGUUGGCUGUUGUCUUCUACUUUGAAUCAAUAUGGAGUAAAGUUGUGGAGAUACAGUUCUAUUAUUCAUAUAUGAGAAAACAAGUUAAAUUUGAGUGGUCAUUGAUUCUCCUGAGAAGAUCCCCACAGUGGGGGAUAGUCACCAGAGAAGUAAUUAAGAUGAGAUCGUGCGAAGUUUUGGUAUCAUCAUUGGAAAUUUAUUCUUUAAAAAAAAGAUAAAGAUUUUUAAAGGGAAAUGUCCUGAUCCAAUCUGUAUUUCUGGUAAACAACACAUUGGCUCUUUGUAUAAACUUUUAAGAAGAUUGAAAGAUAAAUUUCAAAAAGACAAAUAAAUAUUUGAAAAUUAAGUUAAUUUUAUGUUAAAUGUCUCACAUAUUUGUUUUUAUAAUACAGGAAUAUUUCUCAAUUUACAGACUCCAGUCUUGGUCUAGCAUUGGACUUGCCAGGCAGAGGAAUAUUUUUGCUUUUCCUUGGGCAGAGAGUAAAAAAAAAAAAAAAAAAAAAAGGAUCACUAAACAUGUGUGAAUUUUUCCCACAGGUGUUUGUAAAAUCUAGGUCAUACAAAGUGCAGGGAGCUUCAAGACAGUAGACUUGGAGUUUCCCAUUUUCUCCCACUAUUUAGAAAAACUCAUUCCUAUUUCAAAAAUAGUACUUACCUCAAUUGACAUAGUUAAUUAACAAAAGGAGGCAAACACAUAUUUAUCAAAGGAAGUAAAGGAGGAUGCUAAAACAUGGAGCAAAUCUCAGUACCUCUGGAAGAACAGCUAACGCUCUCAUACAUAGUGUUUAUUGAAAUUUCCUAAAAGAAGAAGAAUUUGGUUGCCCCAUUUUUUGGCGUGUGUACCCACUUCUUUGGGUAAACACGAAGCACCAUUGGGAGCUUGCUUAGUAACCAUAUGUCUAAUUUUCUAAGAAGCUCCAAACCUGUUUUCUCAAAGUCUCCAUAUACUUUAUAUCCAUAUUAAUGAUAUAUGAAAAUUUUAGCUGCUCUUCAUUUUGUCUCCACUUGUUAAUAUCAUCCUGCCAAGUUUUAGCCAUUCUCAUAGGGGGGUGGAGGCUACAUUUAGUAUCCCAAUGUGAUCUUUACACUUCUCUGAAGUAAUAAUAUUGAUCAUCUUGUUAUGUGAUAUAUGCCAUUGUAAUACCUUUUAUGAAAUGUCUGUAUAUAACUACUAUAUUGGUUUUUUUGCUAUUUUCUUAUUAAGCGGUUAUGUAAGAGUUAAUAUUCUAGACUACUUUUAUAUCAGUUCAGAUAUGUUCAAAAAUAUUUUUGCCUAUUCCGAUCUGUUGCUUAUUUUCUAGUCAUUUUAACAGGGUUUUAUAUUUUUUAUUUUAAAGAGAAUAAAACAAAAGAGAUUAAAACAAAGCAAAUAAGAACAGAACAAUGCAAGCAACACAGCACUUCCCAGCAAGACAACCAGAUAUUAACUGUAGCUACCACAAUGUCUCUUUUCUUUGAAAUAGUUCAGCCUACAUUCACACACAAUAAUAUCAAAUACAAUGAAAUAGUAUAAAACCACUCAAAAGAAUGAAAGUAUUACAGGACAUUCAAAACCAAAUAACAGAAAAUGAAUAAUACCUACUAUAAUAUCUCAUUUUCUUUAAAAAGUUUGUUUAUACUAUCACACAUAUUAAAAUCCAAUAAGACACAACAAGAUAGUACCAAUGGAAACAGAACAAAAAAAAAACAUUAUAGGACUUCAAAGCAAGAUGGUAUUAAAUCAGCAAUGACUGCCAUACUAUCUUGUUUUCUUAAAAGUAGCUGUUCAUACAAUCACACAUAAUAAAAUCAAACAAAACAGAAAAAAACCAUUCCAACAAAUGAAUAAAACGUUGUAAGGCUUCAAAGCAAUAUAAUGGGAAAUCAUGAUUACAAGAAAAUCUUAGGUACUCAUCAUUUCUUAAACUAGGGAAACUAUAUGGUAUUUAUACAUGUGAGUUUGAUUUAUUUCACUUGUGAGUACAGUCACA
Long non-coding RNA from Cavia porcellus (domestic guinea pig), 2310 nucleotides. RefSeq lists it as uncharacterized. The record is from RefSeq and is a predicted model, not a curated record. The transcript is spliced from 3 exons. NCBI's taxonomy places the organism in Eukaryota, Metazoa, Chordata, Mammalia, Rodentia, Caviidae.